UACAUCUUAUCCUACACCACCCUUUCUCUUAUCCUACACCACAGCACCCCUGACGCCUCCUCUCCUUCCUCACCAACAACAAUCCCCAUGCUGGCUCCUCUCUUGCUCCACCUUCCCUCACCUAGCAGCCAACAACACCAACAUCAACAACUGCAAGCACUCCAUCUAACCUUCACCGUCGUAGCUUCCUAGCCUUCUCAUCAACCUUACACCAUCUCAUCUCCUCCACCUUCCCACAACCAGCAAUCAACAUCAAAAAAUUCAGCCAAAAAAAAUGUAGCCAAAACAGAGCAAAAGCAGAUUCGUGCGCCCGCACUAAUUUCGCGCGCCCGCACCUUCACAAAAAUUGCCUGUAAAAACAUUUUGAUUGUUGCAAAAUUUAUGUUUCCAGAGUUGUGCGCCCGCACGACGGAACCAUGCGCCCGCACGGGUGAGUGUACUGAAUUAAUGAAGGCUCGUGAUCGCACGUGGCGGUGGUGGUGUUAGACCGUUGAUUUUCUGCCGUACAAAGGUUCAACCAAGGCCAGAGAUUUCAUUGCGAUUUGAAUGAGAUGAACAGCGAACUGGGGCGGAAUGAUUGGAGAUCGAAAGUCAGCAUUGAAUUUGAUUAGAUGAUAAAUUGAUGAUGGAUGUUGAAUUCGACGAUGAUGAUGAUGAUGGUUGUGAUCGACGGCGAGAUGAUGGGUUGAUGAUGAUGACCGAUAUGAUGAUGAUAUUGAUGACCGAUAGGCGGUGAUGAUUAGUAGAUGAUGAUGGUCGGUGAUGAUGGUGGCUAAAGGGGAGGAACACGCGAAGCAGAAUAGAGAUGCGACACGGGACUGAAAUCCCAUGAGAACAGCGAAGAUGAAAACGAAGGAGGGUCUGACUUAGACCUGGCAAAAGAUGACCCAACCCACCAACCCGACUCGAACCCAACCCAUUAAUAAAGGUCAAGAUUUUUCAACCCGUUUAGUUAAACAAGUCGACCCAACACCCGUUUAUUAAAUGGGUUGGGCCAGGUUGAAAACUUCAACCCGAAAGCAACCCACAUAACCCGUUAGUUAUGGGUCAUGGGUUGUACCUGCCAACCCGCUUAGCUCAACCUAACCCACGAACCUAUUUAAAAUUUUAAAAACAGAUAAUUGAAAAUCUGAAAUAAUUGUGGGCUUAAUUUGUUUGGGCUUUAGGAAAACCCUAGAACUCACUUAGUCACUCUCAUUGUCUUGCUCUCUCCUCUCUCCUCUCUCCUCUCACAGUCUCUCUCUCACUUAGAAAACCUUAGUCUUCGUCGGUCUCCUCUCAGUCUCACCCCGCCGCUCGUCGUCUCCAAUCACAAUCUCACCGCAUCGCAGCGCCGCUCGUCGUCUCCUCUCACAGUCUUACCGCGUCGCUGCGCCGCUCACUCACUCUGAUUGAUGUAUGUCACUGUAGUUUGCACCACAAAAUGAUUACUGUACUUCAACAAGAAAUUAACAAUUUAACACCUAUAACUUCCGCUUGUAGUACGGCCUAUAUGCAUCUCAACGCGAAUAUACAUAUCAGGCCCGCAUUGAACAAGUAUGUAAUACUCCGUAUACAAAUUUUUAAAAAAGGCGGUCUGACGCGUCAGACCACCUUAUACCCGAAUUAAGGUCGCGGGUCCAGUCAAGCGUAAUUGGGUCUCGGGGUUUUUAUUUGGAUCAUAAUAUAACCUAGUUUUUGCCCUCAUUUCCAAACCCUGCCUCCGUAAUUCAGUUUCUCUCUCCUCGCAAUCUCUCUAUGCUCUCUCUCUCUCCCUCUCCCUCAAGAUCUCUCUGCUCUCUCUCCUCAGAAUAUCAUUUCCGCCGAGCUUCAUGUAUUGUCGAAUUCUCCUCUUUCUCCCUUCCAUAGCCAACCGAUCGAGUGGAGGUUGAAGUAUGGGACGGCGGCGACGACAAAGGAUCGUGACGGCGAAGAAUUCAAAGACAAACCCUAACCAGAUCCGAUUUAGCGAUUUUUUAUGUGUUAGAUCUUUCGUGGCUGCGAAGACAAGGUGGCCUUGACUGUCGUCAAAUAACCGGCAACUAGCCCAAUAUCGCAGCAGCAAAUGCGGCGGUUAGAGUGGUGGUUAUGUGUGGUUCCCGACGCCGAUUAUGGUGGUGCCGAGUAUUUCAAUCGAUUUGCCGUCGAUGAUUAAGAAUCUCAGAUUUGUAAAUGAUCCGUCGAUGAAAAAGAGGAAUGAGAAACCAGUGCUACCGCGUGUUGGAGUUGGUGUUGUUGGAUCUUCGGUGGUGGUGGAUGGUUGCGCGGAGCUGUUGGUGUUGUGGUGAUAUGUCGGGUAAUCGGGUAGAGUGCGUGGUGCUUGCUGGUCAUGUCGUGUUUUAUUUUGUUUUAGUUUAAAAUUGUAUUGUUUUAGUUACAUUUUUGUCAUCUUUAGUUAUAAAAUGAAAUCAUUAGUUACAUUUGUUCUCAAUUACUGUUUUAGUCAUGCGUUUAGUUGAAUUUUUAUUCAUUUAA
This is a long non-coding RNA of Spinacia oleracea (spinach), 2454 nucleotides long. RefSeq lists it as uncharacterized. The record is from RefSeq and is a predicted model, not a curated record. The transcript has 2 exons. NCBI's taxonomy places the organism in Eukaryota, Viridiplantae, Streptophyta, Magnoliopsida, Caryophyllales, Amaranthaceae.